This 72-nucleotide transfer RNA is filed under the name Stegodyphus mimosarum. It matches the Rfam family "tRNA". Rfam says of the family: Transfer RNA (tRNA) molecules are approximately 80 nucleotides in length. Their secondary structure includes four short double-helical elements and three loops (D, anti-codon, and T loops). Further hydrogen bonds mediate the characteristic L-shaped molecular structure. tRNAs have two regions of fundamental functional importance: the anti-codon, which is responsible for specific mRNA codon recognition, and the 3' end, to which the tRNAs corresponding amino acid is attached (by aminoacyl-tRNA synthetases). tRNAs cope with the degeneracy of the genetic code in two manners: having more than one tRNA (with a specific anti-codon) for a particular amino acid; and 'wobble' base-pairing, i.e. permitting non-standard base-pairing at the 3rd anti-codon position. Lineage: Eukaryota; Metazoa; Arthropoda; Arachnida; Araneae; Eresidae. The record is from Rfam by way of RNAcentral.
GCCUUCGUGGUGUAAUGGGCAGCACAAUCAGCACGUAUUCGAGAGGUUCAGGUUCGAAUCCCGGCGAGGGCA